CGAGCCAGACGUUGAUGGCAUUCUAUUACCGAACUCGUCGUGCUCUUCCAAUUUUCCGGUGGCGGCGUCACCUUUCUUCGUCUUCUUCUUCCAAAGUUGCUCUUCUUUGGGAAUCUAAGUCCACCGACUCACAAAAAGCAGUCACUGUCCAACUGUAUUCCUGGGGACGUGGUGCUUCCGGUCAAUUGGGUGGCGGUAUUGAAGAAAUUAGAAUAUACCCAUCUCCUGUUGCUUCAUUUUCUUUGUCUCCCACUUUCCGGUUAUCCUCCCCCAUUCCUGGUCGUCUUCCUUCUGCUCCUGUGCUGCUGUCGUCUUCAUUCAAUGAGGGGAAGGUGGACGUUGAAAUAGGAAUUUCUUGUGGGCUUUUCCAUUCAGCUUUAUUGGUUGAUGGGAAUCUGUGGAUUUGGGGAAAAGGUGAUGGG
This 422-nucleotide unclassified non-coding RNA is filed under the name Hevea brasiliensis (rubber tree). The record is from RNAcentral. Lineage: Eukaryota; Viridiplantae; Streptophyta; Magnoliopsida; Malpighiales; Euphorbiaceae.